Molecule: non-coding RNA, 25 nt
Filed under: Cricetulus griseus (Chinese hamster)
Lineage: Eukaryota; Metazoa; Chordata; Mammalia; Rodentia; Cricetidae
Source: RNAcentral
UAUUGCCUUGAGGGAUAGGAACUGC